Molecule: ribosomal RNA, 565 nt
Filed under: Salmonella enterica
Lineage: Bacteria; Pseudomonadati; Pseudomonadota; Gammaproteobacteria; Enterobacterales; Enterobacteriaceae
Also listed under: 1 other name
Description: partial 23S ribosomal RNA
Rfam family: Bacterial large subunit ribosomal RNA
Source: RNAcentral
UUGAUGUUCUAACGUGGACCCGUAAUCCGGGUUGCGGACAGUGUCUGGUGGGUAGUUUGACUGGGGCGGUCUCCUCCUAAAGAGUAACGGAGGAGCACGAAGGUUGGCUAAUCCUGGUCGGACAUCAGGAGGUUAGUGCAAUGGCAUAAGCCAGCUUGACUGCGAGCGUGACGGCGCGAGCAGGUGCGAAAGCAGGUCAUAGUGAUCCGGUGGUUCUGAAUGGAAGGGCCAUCGCUCAACGGAUAAAAGGUACUCCGGGGAUAACAGGCUGAUACCGCCCAAGAGUUCAUAUCGACGGCGGUGUUUGGCACCUCGAUGUCGGCUCAUCACAUCCUGGGGCUGAAGUAGGUCCCAAGGGUAUGGCUGUUCGCCAUUUAAAGUGGUACGCGAGCUGGGUUUAGAACGUCGUGAGACAGUUCGGUCCCUAUCUGCCGUGGGCGCUGGAGAACUGAGGGGGGCUGCUCCUAGUACGAGAGGACCGGAGUGGACGCAUCACUGGUGUUCGGGUUGUCAUGCCAAUGGCACUGCCCGGUAGCUAAAUGCGGAAGAGAUAAGUGCUGAAAGC